RNAcentral lists this unclassified non-coding RNA (253 nucleotides) under uncultured fungus. RNAcentral describes it as "sequence contains ITS1, 5.8S rRNA gene". The stretch from base 205 to 253 matches the Rfam family "5.8S ribosomal RNA", at positions 1 to 49 of the family's 154-position model. The record is from RNAcentral. Lineage: Eukaryota; Fungi.
UCUCCGUUGGUGAACCAGCGGAGGGAUCAUUACUGAGUUUACGCUCUAUAACCCUUUGUGAACAUACCUAUAACUGUUGCUUCGGCGGGUAGGGUCUCCGCGACCCUCCCGGCCUCCCGCCUCCGGGCGGGUCGGCGCCCGCCGCAGGACCAACCGCAAACCCCUCGCGAACCCAGCGGACUGAAACGAAAUUAAAUACUUCAAAACUUUCAACGACGGAUCUCUUGGUUCUGGCAUCGAUGAAGAACGCAGC